Molecule: ribosomal RNA, 801 nt
Filed under: uncultured bacterium
Lineage: Bacteria
Description: bacterial SSU rRNA
Rfam family: Bacterial small subunit ribosomal RNA
Source: RNAcentral
GUUNUGAACUGGGUGACUAGAGUGUGUCAGAGGGAGGUAGAAUUCCACGUGUAGCAGUGAAAUGCGUAGAGAUGUGGAGGAAUACCGAUGGCGAAGGCAGCCUCCUGGGAUAACACUGACGUCCAUGCCCGAAAGCGUGGGUAGCAANCAGGAUUAGAUACCCUGGUANUCCACGCCCUAAACGAUGUCGAUUAGCUGUUGGGCAGCAUGACUGCUUAGUAGCGAAGCUAACGCGUGAAAUCGACCGCCUGGGGAGUACGGUCGCAAGAUUAAAACUCAAAGGAAUUGACGGGGACCCGCACAAGCGGUGGAUGAUGUGGAUUAAUUCGAUGCAACGCGAAGAACCUUACCUGGUCUUGACAUGUACGGAACCCUCCAGAGUCGGAGGGGUGCCUUCGGGAGCCGUAACACAGGUGCUGCAUGGCUGUCGUCAGCUCGUGUCGUGAGAUGUUGGGUUAAGUCCCGCAACGAGCGCAACCCUUGUCAUUAGUUGCCAUCAUUAAGUUGGGCACCCUAAUGAGACUGCCGGUGACAAGCCGGAGGAAGGUGGGGAUGACGUCAAGUCCUCAUGGCCCUUAUGACCAGGGCUUCACACGUCAUACAAUGGUCGGUACAGAGGGUAGCCAAGCCGCGAAGUGGAGCCAAUCUCACAAAACCGAUCGUAGUCCGGAUUGCACUCUGCAACUCGAGUGCAUGAAGUCGGAAUCGCUAGUAAUCGCAGGUCAGCAUACUGCGGUGAAUACGUUCCCGGGUCUUGUACACACCGCCCGUCACACCAUGGGAGUGGGGGAUACCUGAAGU